UGGGUCAUAUCUGAGCCCGGGUCGUUUGAUCCAAUACCCGACCCGGUCCGGUUGUUAUUUUGUAAGUAUAUUUGUAAAGGUUAGGUAGGAAGGUUCGAGACAUCAGAUAUUUUCAUUCUUCAUUUCCCAAUACCGACUCUUCAGUUCUCUCAAUCUCUCCUCCUUCUCUCUACUUUCUCUCUCUAAAUUCUCCGUAAUUUACUCGGUUAAUCUGAAUAUUUACAUGGUAUCAGA
Molecule: long non-coding RNA, 234 nt
Filed under: Nicotiana benthamiana
Lineage: Eukaryota; Viridiplantae; Streptophyta; Magnoliopsida; Solanales; Solanaceae
Description: long non-coding RNA (NBEN_LNC041675)
Source: RNAcentral